ACCAAAGAUGCAAGCAGCGCGGUGCAGGCUUGGAAUGUGAUUUUUAAAGCAGCCAAGAACUUACCUAAUCGUUGCAAUUACUAGAGAACGCUAAGCUGAGUCCAAGGCUAUACAUAUAUAUAUAAUUUUUUAAAGGACUUCCCGCGGCCGCGGCGAAUGCCCACAAACUUGUUUGACUUCAUCUCCUCGCUGACGGGGAAUCCAGGACUGAACUUGUCGGAAGGUGAGCCUAACUUGGCCAGCCCCAGGGCGCGGCUGGCAGCUGUCCUGGGAGGAAACGGGAGUUUGGAGACUGGAAGGUGAAAGGGGGAGAAGCUGGAGGAACCAGCUGCAAAACCUGGGGGGUGGACUCGACAAAGGUCAAAGUGAUGGAGUCCUGUGGCCACUGCUGAGUUUUCCAGAUUUGCUGGCAUAUUGAGUGCAGCACUUUCACACUAUCAUCUUUUAGGAGUUGAAAUAACUAAUGUGGAAUUCCAUCCCCUCCACUAGCUUUGUUCAUAGUGAUGCUUCCUAAGGCCCACUUGACUUCGCAUUCCAGAAUGUAUGGCUCUAGAUGUUCAAGCAGGAUUUAGAAAAGGCAGAGGAACCAGAAAGCAAAUUGCCAACAUCUGCUGGAUCAUCAAAAAAGCAAGAGAGUUCCAGGAAAACAUCUACUUUUGCUUUAUUGACUACGCCAAAGCCUUGGACUACGUGGAUCACAAGAAACUGUGGAAAAUAAUUCAGGAGCUGGGAAUACCAGACCACCUGACCUGCCUCCUGAGAAAUCUGUAUGCAGGUCAGGAAGCAACAGUUAGAACUGGACAUGGAACAACAGACUGGUUCCAAAUAGGGAAAGGAGUAUAUCAAAGCUAUAUAUUGUCACCCUGCUUAUUUAACUUAUAUGCAGAAUACAUCAUGUGAAAUGCCAGGCUGGAUUAAGCACAAGCUGGAAUCAAGAUUGCCAGGAGAAGUAUCAAUAGCCUCAGAUACACAGAUGACACCACCCUUAUGGCAGAAAGUGAAGAACUAAAGAGCUUCUUGAUGAAAGUGAAAGAGGAGAGUGAAAAAGCUGGCUUAAAACUCAACAUUCAGAAAACUAAGAUCAUGCAUCUGGUCCUAUCACUUCAUGGCAAAUAGAUGGGGAAACAGUGGAAACAGUGAGAGGCUUUAUUUUCUUGGGCUGCAAAAUCACUGCAGAUGGUGACUGCAGCCAUGAAAUUAAGACGCUUGCUCCUUGGAAGAAAAGCUAUGACCAACCUAGACAGCAUAUUAAAAAGCAGAGACAUUACUUUUCCAACAAAGAUCCAUCUAGUCAAACCUAUGGUUUUUCCAGUAGUCAUGUACCGAUGUGAGAGUUGCACUGUAAAGAAGGCUAAGCAUCGAAUAAUUGAUGCUUUUGAACUGUGGUGUUGGAGAAGACUCCUGAGAGUCCCUUGGACUGCAAGUGAAAGGUUGCUGAACCACAAAAGAUGCCAGGAUUCUUGGCCUCCAGAGGAGAAGAAUUCAAUACGGGGCCAGAGACGAGACUUGAUCAUUCAAAACUUUUGUGUAAUAAAAGUUUUAUUAAAGUAUAAAAGAGAUAGAGAAGGUUUCUGACAUAGACAUCAGAAGGGGGCAGAAAGAGUGCCCCCUCCCUAGUGUUAGUAAUGGAGUUAUAUACUUUUUAAUUAGUUAUUACAGUGAAUCAAAAGAAUGUCUGCAGGUUGUAAAGACCUUACUAGACCCACUCCCAUAAUUUACAUUUUAAGAUUACAGGGUUAGCCAGAAGGCUUUUUCCCAGAAACUGUCCUCAAGCAGGAUACAUUAUUGUUAUAUAAUCCUAAGGAAUGUAGAGGAAAAUAAGUUUGUCCUUUCCUCCUCCUUGAGAAUCCCGGACCCCUUUCUCCUUGGGGACCCCCAGACUUCUUAUCAACCUGCCUAGGAAAUGACUCUCUCAUUCCCCCCUCCUCUUUUAGGAGAAUUAUGUUGCCAAGGGAAAGGGGCAUUGUUUUCAUUCCAUAACUGCUUCCUGCUAUUUAGGGGCAUAGUCCCUAAAUUGCUGAGGCAACAUAUUCUCCUAACCCUCAUAUUGAGGGUCUCUGUUCCAGGGGCCCCAAGUAAUAGUUGGUGGAGGCUGUGGCACUUGUAGGAGCUUGGACAACCAUUUGUAACUUAAAAGCUUUCAGACAGUUAGAAACAAACCCUGUUUUACAGUUAUAGAUAUAAGGCAAAAUAGUCAUUAAACAAAGUUAAAAUCAAAAUUAAAAGUCACAUUAUGUCCAUAGUUACAUCAGUCCAUUUUAGAUUGUUAGACGUCAUUACAGAGUUGAAGAGAAUCCUUUCCUUGAAGUGGAGAUGACCACCACGGGAAGCCUUCCACUGAUGAAGAGGGGAGCAGUUAGACCGAUUAUGAAAUGCAGUGUAGGAAUGAGUCCAGGACAGGAAGGCAUUGUCUUGAGGGCCAAUGGCAGACUCAGGACUUUUGGAGUCAGCAGAAGUAGGCUCACAUAGAUUAUCAAGCCCAUCUGAAAAAACAAAGUCAGAGCAUAGAAAGUAAAGACAUAAAAUGACAUCGCUUGGUUCUGGUCAGGGUGCCACCUCUUAACUCGAGUGUGAUGCACCCACGAAUCAAUUCUUGCCACUCUGACAGCUGUGAGAGAAGAAAGAAUAACCUGGUAAUUAGGGCCUUCCCAGAGGGGCUUGAGAGAUUGGCCCCCAGAUCCCAAUGUUUUUAUCAGGACCUCGACUCCUGGCUCAAGUAGAGGUUUGCUUGACUCAGAGGCUGGGUCAGGAGUCACCUCCCGGAGUUCCAUUAAUGCCUGUUGAGAAGCUGAGAGCUGAGUUACAUAAUUAGUUAAUCCUAAGGCUUUAGGAAAACUUUUCCAUUGAGCAUUUUCAGGAAUUAUUAAUCAUCCAUCCUCUGACUGUAACCAUCCUUUAUUAGUAAUCUUUGCUCCUCUUUUCUCAUAUCUUUCUAAUUCUUCCUCAGUAUGUUGUGGUUUUUCCUGUUCCACAGGACCUGUCCAGAUCAACGAUGUCUGCAGUGAAUGGGUUUUGCAAAAUGCCGCUUUUCUGGCUUGACAGUCCACCAGCUGAUUACCUUCUGCUACUUUACUCCCAUCCCGGCUGUACCCUUUGUAAUGCAUAACAGCUAUUCUUUAGGACAAUAUAUAGCAGUUAAAAGUCUUUUGAUCUCUCUGAAAUGCUUAAUAGGUUCUCCUGUUGCCAUUUUAAACUGUCUUUCUUUCCAUAUUGCAGCAACAGCAUGUAAAGUCAAAGCAUGCAAGCGUACUUAGAAUCAGUGUAGAUAUUUAUCCUCUGCCCUCUGCCCUUUGCUUAACUCUAGAGCUCAGGUCAGAGCCACAGCUCCGCUAA
Dama dama (fallow deer) is the source of this 3333-nucleotide long non-coding RNA. RefSeq lists it as uncharacterized. The record is from RefSeq and is a predicted model, not a curated record. The transcript has 3 exons. Lineage: Eukaryota; Metazoa; Chordata; Mammalia; Artiodactyla; Cervidae.